RNA transcript from Loxodonta africana (African savanna elephant), 21001 nucleotides. It is a transcript of the gene named agouti related neuropeptide, with no coding region annotated. The record is from RefSeq and is a predicted model, not a curated record. The transcript is spliced from 6 exons. NCBI's taxonomy places the organism in Eukaryota, Metazoa, Chordata, Mammalia, Proboscidea, Elephantidae.
CACGCGUGGGCCCUGCGGGCGUCGUGGCAUCCGGGUCCUGCUGGGCGGGGCUUUUUGGGGCCCAGGCCGCAACUUUUGGGCUGUCCCGGGUCCCCGGCGCUCUUGACCUGGUUUCCUGGCUGCAGCCUCCAGCACCCGGAACCCCGGGAGAUUUGCGGGGGCGGGGAAGGGAAAGCUGUAGGAAGCGCGCGCGAGGCCGAACCGUGAGGCUGAGGCGGCUCCUGGGCCCAGCCCCGCCCCAGUCCCCGCCUAGCCGGGCCGAACCCGGCCUCCGAACGCCGUGUCGUGGGCUGCCACGGAGAAAGGCUCAGCUUGUCCCAGCGCGCUCCCAUCUCCCCAGCCUGGAUCCAGCACCUGAAAACGGCGAAGGAGGGCUGUCCUUGCCCAGCGACAUUUGGUUUACUUUUUCCGCCCUAGAGGAGGGCCUCCUGAAACCAGGUGCGAGAGAGGAGGGUGAAGACCUCCACUCGGUGACCCACAGCCCACCUCAGCCCAGAGAGGCCAGCUUAAGACCAGACUUGAGGAUUUUACAAGACCAGAGCGGUCCGUCUUUUGCUGAAAGGAUAUUUUGUGUAUUCGGUGCAGUGUAAUUUUGUAUUUUAAAACGUGGAUUUCUGUCUUUGCCUAUGAGCUUCUAAGUUGUCUGUGGGCGGAGUCCUUCAGCACUGAAUAGUGUGGCCGCCUCCCCUUUCCCCAGCUUGCACUUGUGGACCUUAAGCGGCCAGCGAAAAUGUUGACUGAGGACUGCAUGGAAGGUGUUCUGGUGUCUUCGUGAGAAGAUCCCUUUAGUGCUUCUGAGAAUCUGACUCAGGACUGUAUUGUCAACCCCCUUACCUAGAUAUCACGGAUAACAAAUGGACUCAGCGUCAAGGGGGCAGCAUUUGCUCCACUCAGUCGAUUGUUCCGUUAUGAUAAUACCGGCCCAGUAUUGACAAGUCCUCUGGUUUCUUUCAAGAGACCCAGGCAUAUGGUUUUUUAAGUAUAAUUCUCCAGGUUUUCAGAUGGUCAUGGUGGUGCAUUGGUUAAGCUCUGGGCUGCUACCGGAACUGCCAGCUGCUCUGCAGCAGAAAAGACCUGGCCUCUCCAGUAAAGACUUCACCUAGAAAACCCUUUGGGGCAGUUCUGCCCUGUCCUGUAGGGUGCUAUGAAUUGUAAUCAGAUCGAUGGCAAACAACUAAAGUAGAUGUUUUUAAACUACAUGAUAUUAAAGCACAGAUCUGAGCUGUCAAUUUCUGGUCUCUGACUUCAAGAUCAUCUCGGGCACUCCAGUAUUUAGAGAUAGGUUAAUGGAGGACACAGAGUGAUCAACCAGGAAGGUAGAAGGAAAUCCAAGAUAGUGUUGAGUUGUGGAAUCCAAAGGCAGAGAGGGUUUCAGGAAGGAGAGGAAUGGUCAGUUGUGUUCAGUGUUACUGAGAGGUCUGGUAAACUUGGGCCAGAGAUAUGGCUAAUGAAUUGGUCACCUUGGAGGUCACUGGAGGAUAUUGAUGGCCUUGGCUAGAUUAGCUUUGGUAAAUUGGAAGGUGGACCUGACUAAAGUGGGUUGAAAAGUGAAUGGGAAAGUGAAGAAAUGGAGACAGCACAUAUAAGCAACUUAAGACAAGUUUUUUUGUCAAAGGGAACAGAGAAAUUUGGGGAUAACUGUAGAAGGACAUGGGCCAAGGGAGAGAAUGCUUUAAUAGAUAGUAGAGUUCUAGAGUGUGAUUGUGUGCUGUGGAGAGGGUGAUGGUGAUGGGUGGUGCAGAAAAGAGAAGAUUUGACAGUAGGAGUGAAAUCCAUGAAAGAUAUGAGCAAACAGGGUUCAUAGCACCUGAAGAGGAUUGACCUUGGAUAGGAACAAGGAUGCUUUUACCAUGAUAAUAAGGUGACAAAAGUGAAGAGGCUUGCCAGUGCAGGGGAGAGGGAAAGCAAGUUUACUGUGUAAACCUAGCAGGACUGCCUUGGCAUUGGGUACCGAUUUGAGGUUUGUGAUCAUGAGUUUAAAGUUAAACCACUUGACCCAGUUGUGUGGUUUUCCUCCAGCAGCAUUCAACUGCUUGAGAACAGGCAUGAAGAAAAGAGAUAUGGUUUUUUAACACAAGUACAGUACCCAGGUACUUGCUUUAUGCAAUUAGAUGCUCUUCUAGAAAUGUGUCAAGUCUUUAGAAAAUUAACAUGUGACUCCUAUCUUUCUAGAAACCAAAUUAUACUAUUUGUCUUUUAUGUUCACAUUAAGACUUAACUAUAAUGAAAAGACAAACUUAGAGAAAAAUUACCGGGUAACUCUGGGAUAUUUGCAUUUUGCAUUUCUUCAGCCCCCCGCACCCCCACCCCAAAUAGUUCCUGGUAUAAUUAGGAAUAGCAAAGCUGACUUCCUCUAAAUUGUUAGCUUCUUUUUUUUUUUUUUUUAUUAACUUUUAUUGAGCUUCAAGUGAUCGUUUAUAAAUCAAGUCAGUCUGUCACAUAUAAGUUCAUAUACAUCUUACUCCUUACUCCCACUUGCUCUCCCCCUAAUGAGUCAGCCCGUUAGCUUCUUUUGGGCAUCAUUAAUAAUCUAUUCACUAUCUUUUAGAACUUUAUCUCAAACCAUUAUUAUCUUCCUAUCUUUAAGAGUAAGCUACAUCCACAUUGUAUGUUAGUUUGUUGUAGACAGCAUAUAGUUGGGUCUUUUUUUUUUUUUUUUAAUCCACUGUCAAUUUCUGUUUAAUUGGUGAAUUUGGGCUUUUUUAUUUAGUGUAAUUGUUGAUAUGUUAGAGCUUAAGUCUUCCAUUUUGUUUUUUGUUUCCUGUUCCUUGUUUUCUGUUUUAUUUUUCCUAUCUUUCUGUGGGUUGCUAAAACAUUUUUUAGACUUGCAUUUUAAUUUACAUAUAGUGCUUGGAGUGCAUCUCUUUGUAUAAUUACAGGAACAUCUUCUAAACUUUUAGUGUGAGCAAAUAUAAGAUGAUGUAUUCAGGGGGAAGAAUGUCAACUGUAUUUACAACUACAUGACCUGUGAGUUACCAGUUAGAAGCAAGAAAUGGGGUCCAAGUGGCCUUGGAGUCUGCUUUCUGAAGACAAAGACUCCAUUGGCCACUGUGGCACAAGGAUGAGAAAAUGCUGAGGAUCACUAGGAAGGAACCAAAGGAAAUGCUUUCUUCUUGUAGGAAGUCAUGGUGUGUCUUACUUCGUGGUAUUAGCUACAUGGGGAUCUCUAGAUGGGAAACUCCAGAGAUCUGGUUACUUAUUUAACUUAAAUGUUUAAUAUUACCAGCUCUGGAUGCUGGAGUCAUUGUUCUGGAUUCAGGUCCUGUCUUGGUGCCUUGUUAGCUUUGUAGUGUCAGGUGAAUUAUUAACUACCCAGCUGUAGGUUUCUCCUCUAAAAUAGCAUGAUAAUUGUACAACUUCACGUAAUGGUAAGGAUUAAAUGAGAAAAUGCAAGUAAAGCUUUUGGCAUAGUUCUAGGCACCAGUAAUCAUACAGUAAUGUAAACUGUUAUAAUUUAUUUUAUUUUUGUGCUUCCAUUACCUACUUUUCACUCCUAGCUCUGCCUUCUGAUUGAACAUAGGCUUUCUAGGUUUAUUAGUAGAAUCAGUUAAGUUACUGACUAGGGUUUCUCUGACCUGGUGCCUCUUCUUUCUGGGAAAGGCAUACUUGGUGCUAUGAUUCUCAGAGAUCUCUUGCCAAGAUCUUCCUUGGCUCCCACUGUUGCCCUCUUUAAAGCUUGCAAUAAUUAUGAUCAUUUAUAUGUUUUGAACUGUUUAAGCAAGAUAAUUGAUAAAUGAAGGAUGUGUUUAUUUUCUACAUAACAAUGGGGUAAGGCCUAAAGUUAGACCUGAACGCUCCUGCUGCCUCUGUGCUUAUUGGAGGACACGUGUAAGACGUGAUCAAUUCAGCAAUCAUUUAUUGAGUACAUGCUGUGUGCAGCUCCCUCUGCUAGGCAUUGGGAAUACAAAGAGGGCCCACGGUGUGUUUCCAGACCUUGAACUCAAAGUUUAACUGGUAAAACUGGUAGAAAAAAAUGAGAAACCAUUAAUGUGAUUGUUGUUAUAAUGGAAAGAAAUACAUUGUUGUGGACUCACAAUGUGGACUCAAAAGUCAUUCUCCAUGGGUGUAUCAUUGAGCUGCAUCUUAAAGGAGCGGAAGGCAUUAACAAGGGAGGCAAAGGCAUGUCAGGUGAAGGGUCAAAAUCAAGGACAUUAAAGUGCACAAGAGUUUUGGGAACAGCAAGUCACCCAACACCAUUGGACUAGGGUGUAGAGCAGUGAUGUAAAUAAGACAUCUAGAAAACUACCAGUGCUUACCAAUAUCAGCUGCCAAGGUCAACCCCUUUCUCCUAACAUUUUAAAGACAUGCCCUUCUAUUUCAUCUCCUGCUCAGACCGCAGGCAUUUUUUUUUCUUAUUGAUGGGUGCUUUCUUCAGAUCGGAAACCCUGGUGGCGUAGUGGUUAAAUGCUACGGCUGCUAACCAUAAGGGUUGGCAGUUCGAAUCCGGCAGGCGCUCCUUGGAAACUCUAUGGGGCAGUUCUACCCUGUCCUAUAGGGUCGCUAUGAGUCGGAAUCAACAGCACUGGGUUUGGUUUUUUGGUUUUUCUUCAGAUCACUGGGAAAGUCCUAUUUCUUUUUAUCUUUCAGCUCAAGUUACUGCUCUCUAAAGUCUAAAGGACCCUCUGCUUAUUUGGAAGGUAGGUUAAUUUUGUCCUAUGUGUUCUUACCUGCGUUUUCAAUGCAAGGCAUGCAUUGAUAACCCUGUAAUCAUCCAUCUCAUCUGUACAUUUUUCAUUUAGUAAAACACUUUUAUGCCUGCCCUUUCAAAUGAUGCUAACAGCUCCAUUUGGUGAGUCAGGCACAGUUUUGUCCUAAACUUAAGAAACGAAGUGACUUGCUCAGGGUUGUCUGGCAACUUGUUGGCAAAACCAGAAUGAGUACUCAGGCCUUCCAGCCCCACCCUGCCUUUUCCUGUUCUCCCACUGACUGCACAGAGCUCCUUACUCUGUCAGGUAACCCUUCCAUUUUUAUAGGCUUCUGUGGAUAUAGGAAGCUCUGGUGGCACAGUGGUUAAAGUGCUCUGCUGCCAACCAAAAGGUUGGCGGUUUGAACCCACCAGCCACUUGAGAGAAAAAUGUGGCAGUCAGCUUCUGUAAAGAUUUACAGCCUUGCAAACCCUAUAGGGCAGUUCUGCUCUGUCCUGUAGGGUCACUAUGAGUCAGAAUCAACUUGAGGGCAGUGGGGUUUUCUUUUUUUUUUCCUCUGGAUGAUGCUUUACCUCAGAGGCUACCUUAGAAGGGGAAGGGGAAGGAAGGCCUAUCAGGCGUCCCCUAUCCUCUUUUACUCCUCCCAAUUUUAUGUGAUUUGCUUGGGGGAGGGAGGGGAGGGAGGUAUCUGCUGCAAAACAAGUUGGAAACUACUGCCUUAACCCAAAGGGAAGACUUUAAUGGUGAAAAUUUCAGGUACCAGGGCAGGAAGAUAGCAGAGGUAUUUGAGGGUGAGGUCUUACUCAUCUAUAAGUAUGUCCUGAAUUUUUGCCUGGAGCCUUAGUCUACGCUCAAGGGUAGCUAAUACCAGAAAGAGACGAUGAACCUACUCUCAAGUGCCUUAUAUUUAGUUGGAAAGACCAGACUAGACCCUGUGAACCUUAGUAGGUGAAAGUCAAGGAUGAAGAGGCAAGUGAAGAGGUGUUGACUAUAUGCUGUAGAAUCACUAUGAAUUGGAAUCGACCAGAUGGCAACGGGUUGGGUUUUAUAUGUCCGAGAGGAAUGGAGAGGUCAGUGGACAUCACAGUCAUAUGAAUUUGAAUCUCCAGGGAAGUUAUGAGGUGAAUCUUAGCACUGGGUGAGUUGGAAUAAACCUAACCUCAUUCUAUUUGUAUGAAAUAUCCAGAACAGACAACUCUAUGGAGACAAAGUAGAUUAGCAAUUGCCUAGGGCUGAGGUGGGGAAAUGGAGAUUGAGAAGAUUGUGGGGUGACGGCUAAGGCAUAUGGGGUUUCUUUAGGGUUGAUGAAAGUGUUCUAAAAUUCGUUGUGAUGAUGCUUGUACAAUUCUGAAUAUACUAAAAGCCAUUGAAUUGUGUACUUUAAAAGGGUAAAUUGCAUGCCAUGUGAAUUAUGUCUCAAUAAAGCUGUUAAAACAAAAACAAACCUAACCUGGACCAAGCUCAACAAGGAAGGUACCCAUCAGCUUCCCCAGACCUGUGUAGGGACUGGUACCUAGUAGAACAGUCAACAGAUACUUUUAGAUGUAUAUAUGGGUGUGCAUAAAGGAAAUGGAGCCCUAGUGGUGCAAUGGUUAAGAGCUCGAAUGUUAACCAAAAGGUCAGCAGUUCGAGUCCACCAGCCCUUCACUGGAAACCCUAUGGGACAGUUCUCCUCUGUCCUGUAGGGUUGCUAUGAGUUAGAAUUGACUCAGUGGCAAUGGGUUUGGUUUUAUAAGGUAAAUAAGCAACUGCAAUGGGGUAUAAUUAGUACUAUACUAGGGAAGUGUAGAGGCUUCUGUGACAGGAGCAUAGUGGAGGGUCAGCGUCCUGAAGAAAUUUGUGAUGUCUAUGUUGAUGUUUGUUGAGUGAGCAGGCAUUAGCAUGGCCACAUGAGGGGUGGGAAUAGUGUACCGCAAGUGGCUUAGUGAGACUCGAGUAUGGAGUGAGAAGUUAGGUGGCAGAAAUGAGGCCAUAGACAGGAGCAGAUCCAGAAGGGCAAGGGCCUGUAGUAGUAGAUUUAUGUUUUAGAGAUCACUUUGACUGUACCAUGGAGGAUGAAUUGAAGAGGGACAAGGAGCCUGUGAGAAGGCAGUGUCCAGGUAAGAGAUCAACGUGUCCUGAACCCAAGUGGUAACAAUAGGGAUAAAAAAAAAGUGGACAGUUUAGAAACAUUCAGAUUUAAUUGAGAGGAUGGCUGAUGGCUGGGAGGAGGAGACAGAGGGAAGAGUUAAGGAUGAAGUCCAGCUGUAUCGCUUGGGUACCUGGGUAGUUGGAAACUCAGGAGCCCUGGAAGAGGAACAGGCUUUGGGAAGAUGUUGAGUUCAGCUUUGAUUAUGUUGAGUUCGAGGUGCCUGGGACAUUCAAAAGAAGGUGUCCAGUCAGUAGUUGGAUAUAGGGAUCUGGAGCUGAUGAGAGAGCCAUAUGAAUCAUCAGCGUACCGCCUGAGCAGGAGAAUGGAUGAAGUGGUACAGAGAAUGUGUUUCAAGAGAGGAGGAAAGGACCUGGAAUGGAACCCUGUGGAGUCACCUUUAAGAGGAUGCUUGAGGAGGAGGAAAAGGCUCUAAGGAGAAUCACAGUAGAUGGCUGGAAGCUUAUAUGUUGAUCAUAGCAAUUCAUCUGCUUAUUUAGCCGUUGUACGUCAGCAUUUACUGAGUGUCAGCCUUGGGCGUAUUCAGAGACAAGUGAGACUUGACCCUUGACAUCAAACAGACUAGUGGCCACCACCCAAUUACAGCCUUCUGAAACAAGAGACCCCUUUUUCACAGGCCAGUGCCAGUCUUAUUUUCUAAGCAAUAGAUUAUACUUCCUUAGCAGUUUAUCUACAGCACUGGAGUCCUUCCCAAGCUCACCCUCCUGAAUCAGACAGGCCUAGAAGAGUGUGCCUUUCUGAGACCUUGGUGCCCAAGCCUGGCAGCCAAACCAAGAGCUCUCUGUCCAUGGGGAUGGAUGGCCUGCACAGGGCAUCUCAGGGCUGUCUUGGAGGAUGGGGCAAGGGAAAAAGGGAGCCUGUCAUAUGCUUGGGGCUCAGCAAAUUAUACCCACACACCAGGCACAGAAACACACAAGGAAGGCACCCCCGCUCUGUGGGUGAGACAAAGAAGCAUCCUCUUCCCAUGUGCCAACCCAUCUGCUUCUUUGCCUUCACAAACAUGCUUUUUUCCUUUUUUUUUGUUCUCUGCAGCUUUGAAUACACAAGGAAGAAGAGUGGGAGAUGGGAGGAAAGUCAUACAGAAAAUGGUCUGCAAAGAGCAUGUCAUUGUUUUAAAAAACAACAGGACUAUCACUUUUUUGGAUAUCUCCAGGACGGCCCCUGUCACCAGAUAGAAGAGUGUGGUGGACGUGUCCUUAAUAUACAGAAGAACCAAUGGAGUCCUUGAACAAUGUCCAGGAAGGCCCCUGUCUCCUUCUCUGUGAGCUGUGACAACACCUUCAGGACACCCUGGAUGGACUCUGUCACCGUCAGUGGGGGCUGCAGAACACACAACCCCCGUGGCCCAGCUGAAUUCACCUGACCCAGACUACCUACAACUGGACAUGUGAGGCUGAACCAAAGUCAGGGAGGUGGCCAGAAGAGGCAGGACCCCUAUCUUCAUGGCCAAAAAAUGACACUCAUGUGAACACACACCAAAGGAUUCCCAUGUAAUCCAUCUGCUCCCUCUCUAAUCCACCACCUCUUCUGGAGCACACCCCUCUUACCCCAACCUCUCAUUCUCUAGCACCCACUUCCUAAGAUGCACUAUUGCCCUUUUCUUGGCUGGUGGACUCCCAGGAACAGCAUAGACCUGUGCACUCAACCUUCCUGCUAGGCAACUAUCUUGGGCAACACACCUAAUGACAACAUAUGUCCCUCCUGCUGCUGAUAGCCUGAAAGAAUGUUGCUUCAUUUGACCUGACAUCUCUGCCAAGCUCUCCUGAGAGUCCUACUCUGUUGCCCUGUUCCCAGGUGCCAGCAGGGCCAUAACUUUGGGGGUUGGGGGAACUGACACUCACAAUGUGCAAAGUGGAAGAGCCCAUGUCUGUGUGCACCCAGCCAGGGCUGAUACCUGCACACAGGAUGCCUUCCUCGGCAUAGGCCAGAGCUUGGCGCCAGGUCGGCAUGUUCAGAGCAGCCUGGGAAAGGGAUGAGUUACAAGGGCUAUGGCAGAGUCAAGGAUGCUCCAAAUUCAGCUGAAGUCCCAGGCACUCUCUUCUCACCUUCCUACAGCUGUAAGACACAACUUUCCCAAGUUCCCACUUCCAUAAUUGUGCGAUGAAACCUGUAGCACUGGAAACGUUGAUGAUGACAGCUCUUGGCCAGCUCAGUUCCUUCUGGGGGUGGGUGCAGGCAGCCUUCCUCAGCAGUGAGCCAAUGACCUGCAAGAUGUGAUGUGGGGAGAGCUGUGCAAGUAAGAAGGUUCAAGGCCUCAGCAUUUCAUUCUUGACAAAUCUAAACCUGACAGCCAUCUGUCAGUGGCUGUUGAGUUGAUUCUGUCUCAUAGUGACCCCUAUGUGUGUCAGAGUAGAACUGUGCUUCACAGGAUUUUUAAAGGUUGAUUUUUUUAAGUAAGUGGAUCAUUGGGCCUUUCUUCUGAGGGGUCUCUGGAUGGAUUUGAACCUUUAACCUUUGGGUCAGCACCUGAGAGUAUUAACUCUUUGCACUAUCAAGAGAUUCCAAACCUGACAACAAGCUCAUUAUAUUUCCAUUCCACAAGAAAGGCUACAUGAUCUGACUUGGGAGCAGGCAUCAGGUCUAUUGGAACCAGACCUGUUCUCCAACCUGGUCUACUCAUUUCUGGUUCCCUGUUCCAGAACCCUGAGAUCACAGGGAAUCAGCUGAAGGGCAGGAUCUAAUCUUGGCCAGCAGGUGGCGGUAGGGGCUUACCUGGCCAAGAAGCCCCGCAAGGGUUGUCGAGUAUAACAAGUGCAUGUAGGAUGCAGUAUCUGUAUCCAGUGAUGAGUUUCACCAGCCCAGCGUUGUUGGCCAGCACCUAACAUUCAGCUAGCUGGAUGGAUGUGGGGCCUGUGAUGUCUUUGGGGAAAAGGCAGAGCUGGCAUCAGAUCUUUGCCUCAUCCCCCUACCCUCAUUCUCUGGGUUUCUGCUUCUAGUUUGAUGGCCCAUCCCCCUCCUCAUCAUAACACAUUAAACCUCCUACUGUCCAUGGACUAAAGACUGAGGCUUUGUGUGUGGGAACUCUGUCUAAGAGGUCUGUCUUUUCGCCAUGCCAUCCUCACGAUCAGCUGAGCAGAGAUGAGAGAUUUUUGACCUGUGGAUAGUAGGGUAGACAUUCAGACCUAUGAGUAUUCACAGUGGGUAUGGGGAGCCUCUCCAAAGGAAGGUCAGUUGGGUGAGUUUCAGAACGGGUCUAGACCAUGCCCAUGUAGAAGUCAGUUGAAAGCAGAUCCUGUGACAAAUGUGAAUCAGGGUGGGGACCUAGUGGGGUGGGGGGAGUUGGCAGGGUAGAGAAUCCUGAAAGCAGGGAGAUAAAUAGCCCAUGGCUGGUUGUGCCCUCACCAAGGCGAAGGAUCCGCAGGUUUGGUUCCUGUUCUGCCAGAUCUCGGAGGCUCUGGGGGAGAGGGUGCAAGGGUGACCCUGGACCUCACAAACCUUUUCCCCACCUCACACUCAGCUUGGCCCUGGAAGCCCCUUACCUGUGCUUGGGGCCCACUGGGGUUCCGGCCUGUGGCAGAAACCAGCUUGGGAGGCUGGGACAGUGCCAGCAGUUGCGGCACCAGCUACAGCCCAAGGCCAUGGUUCGUGCCUGUCACCAAGGCACUGGAAAGACUGUUCUGGGACAUGGCGCUGAAGCCUCUCGCAGAUCCUUCUCUCUGUCUAGCUGCUCUUCAAUCUGUGGAUGUUUUGGAUCCUUGUGGCUGUAAUCCGAUGGGAAUGGGUCCUGCCCUUUGUGACCCCUUGAGUCAAUUGAGAGAUACCAGGCCUUUGAGAAACAGAAAGUGGACUUUGUUGCAAACCAGUCAAGCAAGGAGCUUGGAGACUAAAUCUCAAAUCAAGCUCCCUGAGGUUGGGGAUUUUAGGGUAGUUAUAGGGUUUGGGAUAGGGAACUUAUGCAUAAUUCAUAAGAAUUUCUGAGAGUAGGUGGGCAAUUUUAGGAACUAAUUAACACGUAUAGGGGUACAGAUGGGUUGCAAUAUGACAGCUGGGGGCUAUGACACAUGAAGUUUUUCUAAGGCCAGGUUUGCAGCUAAUAAGCUGCAAUUCGGGGGCGGGGGGGUGGCAGUUAGUGAGUAGUGAAGCGGCCUUGAGCAGGGAAACAGGUAAGAUGACCUUGUGUUAUUACACAGAAAUGUCUUAUCAGGAAUUCACAGGUCGGGGGAUGGGUGUUGGGCAGAGGGGGAAUAGUUUAACCCUGUUGGUUACAUUACCCCCUCUGGUUUUCAGGGUCUUCAAUCUUGAAGAUAUAUCUUUAUGUAGGUGAUGGCCCAGACCCCUGGAGCUUUUUUAUUUUUUUAAAAAGUGAUCUUUAUUUGUCUUUUGGGGUUGGAAAGAUUACAUAUAAAGUUAUAGAUAUAUUUUAACAUUGUAUGUAUUACACAAAAUUAAAAAAAUUUUUUUUUAUUUUAUGUAGUAUAUAUUACUAAUGAUAAAAUGUACAAAAAAACCCAAAACAGUCGUAAGUGCUGUGGUUCAUUGUAACUCAAAUACACUGUAAGUCGAGGGCUUCCUGUAUGUCAUGCGUACACACAGUCAUUCUAUAAAUAAUGUUAUAUCCUAUUUUUUAUUUGUCUUUACAUAGUAUACAUGAGUAUAACAGUAUUUUCACAUGUCAUUAAAGAUCUUUAAAUGCCUCCAGUUUUUGAUGGCCAUCGAAGUAGCAUGCCUACCUGGAGACAGCACUCGUAUCGUCAUGGUGCAACAAGCUCUCAUUUAUACGAUUCCUGAACUUUGGCAGUAAUCUUUAACUGAAACCACUUAGGGUACAUAGAAAAGUCUCUUUAAUCUGUUAUCCAAUGGGUUAUAUGAAGCCCCACUGAUAUUAUAUAAAUACCGAAGUGUAUUCGGUGCCAAAAUGUCACUGAGAUUCUAUCAGUGGCUGCAGUGCAAACAGAAUUUACACAUUUUAAAAAGCAGCUGCAAAUAAUGCAAAGAAAGGCAGAUGCUGAUUCUGAGGGUUCAUGUCAAAUUUCUAAAUUAUAAAUGUAGCAUUGCUCAUCUGAUCAGAAGAGAUUUGGCCAGAGGGUCAGUAUAGCACACUGGAAAAUCUGAGCUUAGUUCCAAACCAGUGUUUUAUAAUUAUGGAUGAAAAAAAUAAAAAGUGCAUUUUGAAGGUCUGUUAAGUAUGUUUUAAAAAGUCAACUUACUAAGAACUUAUUUUUAAAAUAGAUCUCUCUGUUUGUUCAAGGGCAUCAAACAUCUUAGCCCACAAAAUUUUAUAGGGAUAAUUAGUGCCUUUUGGUGAAAUGUAGUCAUAAAUCUAAACUCCUAUAAUGUAUAGAAAAUGUACAAUUUUUUGGAAAAAGUGUGAAAUAAGCGUCUAAUAAAGCACACCAAGAUAUGGUAGAAAUUAACUCUUUAAUAACCCUACAUGGCAACUUUCAUCUCUAAUAUUUCUUCCCAAACUAAUGCAAGCUCUCUGUGAAGCUUAAGAUUGUGUGUCAUCUUGGCUGGACCAUGAUCCUCAGUGUUUUAUAUGUGAUCACUCCCAUGACUAAAUCUGCUGUGAGUAGCCAAUCAGUUGAAAGGGAGUUUCCUUGGGGAUGUGGCCUGGAUCCAAAUAUAAGCAGAUGUUCUGGAUUUUUUGCUCACUCUGGAUCCUGCGCAGCCUCCUGUUUGUCUGACCUCUGGUUCUUGGGACUUGAGCUAUCAGCUUAUCUGUAGAUCUUGGAAUUCGGGGAUCUUCACAGCCCGAGAGCAGGAGCCCCACUCUCCAACCUGCCAAUCGUGGGUUUGCCAGCCCCUGUGACUGUGUGAAUUGAGAGAAACUUCUAUCCUGAUGCACAGACUUGGGACAUUGGAGCCUCUACAAUCUCAUGAGCCAUUUCCUUGAUAUAAAUCUCUGUUUAUAUAUAUUUAUACGCUUUACUGGUUUUGCUUCUCUAGAGAACCCAGCCUAAGAUUGCCUCUAAAACCUGAAAAACCAGACCCAUUGCCAUCGAGUCAAUUCUGACUCAUAGUGACCCUAUAGGUCAGAGCAGCUGGUAGAUUUGAACUGCUGACUUUUUGAUUAACAGCCCAGUUCUUAACUCAAAAUUGCAUAGAAAAUUUAUGAUAGAAAAAGCUCCUUGAUUACCUAGUACAGCUUUCUUAUUUUAUAGGUAAGGAAACCAAGGCUCAGGAGGUAGUUUGUAUAUCAGCAGAUUGUUCGACUGGGGAUUAGAAUCAGAUUUUAGCUAAGGUUUUUCGAAUAUGGCCACUAAGACUCAUAACACAUAAACAAGUUUUAUAUGUGACGAAAUUUCACCAAGAUAAAACAAGAUUGUCCCAUUGCCUCUGAUGCCUUUGAACUGAAAUUCUCUGUGUUGGAGGUUUUGCAAUUCAGAUAAUUCAAGUUUCUUUGAACUCUAUGUCAUUACUCUUUCUUGUAAUUCAGUGAUAAAGAGGAGUUAAAUUUCAAAAGUGGAACAUGUUCUGAUUUCCGAAUUAGUGCUCUAACAUGCCAAAUACUUGCAAGUACACCCACAAAAGUCCAAACUAUUACAUAAAAUAUAUUAAUUUUAAGUCUUAUAAAAGCACAUUUCAAUGGCAUCUCCCCCGGAAAUUUUGAGCUUACUGACUGGUGUAAGCAUGUGCAAUGUAGGAUCUGAGGUUUGUUAAGGGGAAUGCAGUCGGAUGCUGAAGCAUCAUGAUGUUUACACCUUUUAGGUGAUUUUGAAUGAACAUGGUAAGACAGUUUAAGAGGCAGGGCAAAAACAGACAGGUUAGUAAAAGAAUUAUCAGCAGAGUAACAGGGAGCCAGAGCCAACAAAAAGUGGGAAACAGGGAAGUUAUUUAUGACAACCAAUCAGAUGAAGUUUUUAGCUGCUGUAGAAAGAGAAGGAAGAACACAAUGAUUGCCAAGAUGGUAAAGGCAAUGUAAACAUUAAGAGCACAAUCAUGAUGGAGGGUCUCCCAGUUGGAGGGGCACAGGUUUAGGCAUGAGUUUUUUACUUUUACUUUUUAACAGAUAUUUUAAGUCCUACACAGGCUUACAGGUCCAGUUGUUUUGUUGAGUUUGUUCUUGUUGCAGAGGAUCUUCCGGGGAUGGUGCAGGUUUGAGGCAACUGUGAUGCACCGAAGCUUUGAUGUUUUUGAGUUUAGUUGCAGAGUGGGUGGUUAAAAGAACAGUGUACAGCCUAGUCCACCGGAAUUCCAGGGGCUUAGCUUUCCAGGUUUUCAGCAGAACUUGGUUACCAGGCUGGAAUGAGUGAAGUGGGGCAUCAACAGGAUAUUUCAGACAGCCUAGAGCAAACAUGUGAAUAGGAGAUAGAACAGCAGACAACGACAACAAAUAUUUUUGGAGAGCAAGCUCCCUGGUGACAGAAACCUGAGUAUUGGUUAAAGGCAGCCUGGGACCAGGUGAUCUCAGCCAGGCCACAGGGAUCGUGAGUUCUGCAGCUCCCGCUGAAGGUGAUAUAGUCCAUCUGGGGCAUUUUGAGGUGAUGGCUUGGAUUACAGAGAAGGAGGCAGGGACCUGCUGAUGCCUGAUGAUCAUCCUUGAGGAUCACACUCAACCCUGGUUUGGAGCUGGUUCAUUCUGGUGAUCCCUUGCUGAGAAUUUGCAUUUUCACCCUAGAUAUAAGGUUUGAAAAUGGAAUGCUUCAACAUUGAUAUCCUAAGCAUUAGUGAGCUGAAAUGGACUAGUAUUGGCCAUUAUGCAUUGGAUAAUCAUAUAGUCUACUAUGCCGGAAACAACAACUUGAAGAGGAACGGUAUUACAUUCAUUGUCAGAAAGAACAUUUCAAGAUCUAUUCUGAAGUACAAUGCUAUCAAUGAUAGGAUAAUAUGCAUACACUCACAAGGAAGACCAGUUAACACGACUAUUAUUGAAAUUUACACACCAACCACUGAGGCCAAAGAUGAAGAACUGAAGAUUUUUAUCAGCUUCUGCAGUCUCAAAUUGAUCAAACAUGCAAUCAGGAUGCAUUGAUAAUUACUGGUGAUUGGAAUGUGAAAACUGGAGACAAAGAAGAAGGAUUGGUAGUUGGAAAAUAAGGCCUUGGUAAUAGAAACAAUGCCAGAGAUUGAAUGACAGAAUUUUGCAAGACCGACUUCUCCUUUGCAAAUACCUUUUUUUCCCCAACAUAUACGACGACUAUACACAUGGACCUCUCCAGAUGGAAUACGCAGGAAUCAAAUCGACUACAUCUGUGGAAAGAGGCCAUGGAAACGUUCAAUAUCAUCAGUCAGAACAAGGCCAGGUGCCAACUGUGGAACAGACCAUCAAUUGCUCAUAUGCAAGUUCAAGUUGAAACUGAAGAAAAUCAGAACAAGUCCAUGAGAGCCAAAAUAUGACCUUGGGUAUAUCCCACCUGAAUUUAGAGACCAUCUCAAGAAUAGAUUUGAUGCACUGAACGCUAAUGACUGAAGACCAGGCGAGUUGUGGAAUGACAUCAAGGUCAUUAUACAUGAAGAAAGCAAGAGGUCAUUGGAAAGACAGGAAAGAAAAAAAAGACCAAGAAAGAUGUCAGAUGAGACUCUAAAACUUGCUCUCGAACAUCAAGCAGCUAAAGCAAAAGGAAGAAAUGAUGAAAUAAAAGAACUGAAUAGGAGAUUUCAAAGGGCAGCUUGAGAAGACAAAGUAUUAUAACGACAUAUGGAAAGAACUGGAGAUAGAAAACCAAAAGAGAAGAACACGCUCGACGUUUUUCCAGCUGAAAGAACUGAAGAAAAAAUUCAAGCCUCGAGUUGUCAUAGUGAAGGAUUCUAUGGGGAAAAUAUUAAAUGAUGCAGGAGGCAUCAAAAGAAGAUGGAGGGAAUACACAGAGUCAUUAUACCAAAAAGAAUAGGUUGACAUUGAACCAUUUCAAGAGGUAGCAUAUGAUCAGGAACCAAUGGUACUGAAGGAAGAAGUCCAAGCUGCACUGAGGGCAUUGGCAAAACACAAGGCUCCAGGAAUUGACAGAAUAUCUAUUGAGAAGUUUCAACAAAUGGAUGCAGCACUGGAAGUGCUCACUCGUCUAUGCCAAAAAAUUUGGAAGUCAGCGACCUGGCCAACUGUCUGGAAGAGAUCUAUAUUUAUGCCUAGUCUCAAGAAAGGUAAUCAAACCAAAUGUGGAAAUUAUCAAACAAUAUCAUUUAUAUCACAUGCAAGUAAAAUUUUGCUGACGAUCAUUCAAAAGCAGAUGCAGCAGUAUAUCAACAGGGAACUGCCAGAAAUUCAGGCCGGAUUCAGAAGAGGACAUGGAACCAGGAAUAUCAUUGCUGAUGUCAGAUGGAUCCUUGCUGAAAGCAGAUAAUACCAGAAGGAUGUAUACCUAUGUUUUAUUGACUAUGCAAAGGCAUUCGAGUGUGUGGAUCAUAACAAAUUAUGGAUAACAUUAUGAAGAAUGGGAAUUCCAGAACACUUUAUUGUGCUCAUGAGGAACCUUUACAUAGAUCAAGAGGCAGUUGUUCAGACAGAAUAAGGGGAUACUGAGUGGUUUAAAGUCAGGAAACAAGUGCAUCAUGGUUGUAUCCUUUCACCAUACCUAUUCGAUCUGUAUGCUGAGCAAAUAAUCUGAGAAGCUGGACUAUAUGAAGAAGAACAGGGCAUCAGGAUUGGAGGAAGACUUAUUAACAACCUGCCUUACACAGAUAACACAACCUUUCUUGCUGAAAGUGAAGAGGACUUGAAGCACUUACUAAUGAAGAUCAAAGACCACAAUCUACAGUAUGGACUACACCGCAACACAAAGAAAACAAAAAUCCUGACAACUGGACCAAUAAGCUGGGCUGGCUAAGCUACAUCAUGAUAAAUGGAGAAAAGACUGAAGUUGUCAAGGAUUUCAUUUUACUUGGAUCUACAAUCAACACCCAUGGAAGCAGCAGUCAAGAAAUCAAAAAAGCAUUGCACUGGGCAAGCCUACUGCAAAGGACCUCCUUAAAGUGUUGCAAAGCAAAGAUGUCAUCUUGAAGACUAAGGUGCGCCUGACCCAAGCCAUGGUAUUUUCAAUCACAUAAUACGCAUGUGAAAGCUGGGCAAUGAAUAAGAUAGACCGAAGAAGAAUUGACACCUUUGAAUUGUGGUGUUGGUGAAGAAUAUUGAAUAUACCAUGGACUGCCAAAAGGAUGAACAAAUCUGUUUUGGAAGAAGUACAACUAGAAUGCUCCUUAGAAGCAAGGAUGGCAAGACUGGGUCUUACAUACUUUGGACAUGUUGUCAGGAGGGAUCAGUCCCUGGAGAAGGACAUCAUGCUUGAUAAAGUACAGGGUCAGCGGAAAAGAGGAAGACCCUCAAGGAGAUGGAUUGACACAGUGGCUGCAACAGUGAGCUCAAGCAUAACAAUGAUUUUAAGGGUGGUGCAAGACUGGGCAGUGUUUUGUUCUGUGGUACAUAGAGGGUCACUAUGAGUUGGAACUGACUCCAUGGCACCUAACUACAACAACCCUAGGUAUUCUGAAUCAGAGUCUACAUUUUAAAAAGAUCACAAGAAUCACCAAGUGUCUUAGUCAUUUAUUGCUGCUGUAAUAGAAAUACCACAAGCAGUUGGGUUUAACAAACAGAAGUUUAUUCUCUCACAGUCUAGUAGGCUAGAAGACAAAUUCAGGGCAUCAGCUCCAGGGGAAGGCUUUCUCUCUCUGCUGGCUCUGGAGGAAGGUCCUUGACAUUAAUCUUCCCCUGGACUAGGAAGUUCUCCGUGCAGGAAUAACAGGUCUGAAGGACACGCUUUGCUUGACGCUGCUUUCUUGGUAGUAUGAUGUGUUUCCCGCCACUCCCCCCGCCCCCCGCCCUCUGUUCGCUUCCCAUUGCCACACCCUAGGGAAAGUCCCAUUACAUUGGAUUAGGGAUGUGACUUUAGUAAGGGUGUUACAAUCCCACCCUAAUCCUCUUUAGUAUAAAAUUAAAAUCACAAAAUAGAGGACAACCAUACAAUACUGGGAAUCAUGGCCUAACCAAAUUGACACAUAUUUCUGGAAGACUCAAGUCAGUCCAUGAGACCUGGGGAUCUUGUGUUAAAAUGUAGAUUCUAACUGGAUAUAUCUGGAAUGAAAUGCAAAUUCUCAGCAGGAGGUUGAACUAGAACAGACUGGUUCCAAGCACUGUUUUUUAUUAAGGUAAAGUACACAGAGCACAAAGUAAACAUUAACCAAUUUAAAGUGUAUGAUUUAGUGGCAUUAAGUAUAUUUAUAAUGUUAUGUGAUCAUCGCCUCUAGGGAACUUACACUCAUUAAGGAGUCACCUCUAUUCCCCACACCCCCUAGUCUGUGGCAAUCAUUACUCAGCUUCUGUCUCUAUGGAUUUGCCUAUAUAGGUUGUUUCAUAUAAAUGGAUUCAUACAAUAUGUGACCUGUUGUGUCUGGUUUCUUUCACUUAGCUAAAUGUUUUCGAGGUCCAUUCACACUGUAGCAUGCAAAGUACUUCGUUCCUUUUUAUGGCUGACUAAUAUUCAAUUGUAUAUGCAGUCAUUCCUUGGUAUCCAUGGGGGCUUGAUUCCAGGACCUGCUGCAGAUACCAAAAUCUCCAGACGCUCUAGUUCUUUAUAUAAAAUGAUGUGAGUCUUACACGUCACCUAUGCACAUCGUCCUGUAUACUUUAAAUCAUCCCUAGAUCACUUAUAAUACCUAAAACAAUUUAAAUACUAUAUAAAUAGUUGCUAUAUUGUAUUUUUUAGGGAAUAACGACAAGAAGAAAAAGGGUGCACACAAGUAACGAAGGAGAUGCGAGGCAAGCAAUGCUCAAACAAAUGAUCUGAGGUUGGUUGAUUCUAAGGAUGCAGGUCCUGCGGAUAUGGAGGGCUGACUGUAUAUACCACAAUUUUUGUCUCCAUUAGCCCGUUGAUAGACAUUUGGGUUGUUUUUACCUUUUGGUUACUGUAAAUAGUGCUGCUGUGAACAUUCCUGUACAAGAAUUUGUUUGAGUUCUUGUUUUAAAUUUUUUUAAUUCUAUAUCUAGAAAUGGAAUUGGUGAGUCAUAUUAUAAUUCUAUGUUUAACUUUUUGAGGAACCACCAAACUGUUUUCCGUAGUGCCAGCAGUAUUUUACAUUCCCAUCAGCAGUGCCGCAGGAUUCUAAUUUCUCUACAUCCUUAUCAAUAUUUGUUAUAUUAUUCUUAUUCUUUUUUUUUAAUUAUGGCCACCCUAACAAUUAUAAUCCUGUGAAAUGGUAUCUCAUUGUGUUCUUGGUUUGUAUUUCUGUAAUGACUAAUGACAGUGAAUGUCUUUUCAUGUGCUUAUUGGGCAUUUGCAUAUCUUCUUUGGAGAAACGUCUAUUCAAGUCCUUUGCCAGUUAAUUCAAGUCCUUUGCCCGUUAUUUAAUUGAAUUGUCUGUCUUUUUGUUGUAGAAUUUGUAAGAGUCCUUUAUGUAUUCUGUGUACUAGACCUUUAUCAAAUAUAUGAUUUUCAAAUAUUUUCUCCCAUCUGUGAGUAAGUGGUAAGUGGCCUUUGCAAUUCUCUUUCUAGAUAGUGUCCUUUGAUGUAUAAAAAUGUUUAAUUUUGAUGAAGCUGAGUUUCUCUAUUUUUUUGAAGGUUUGUUGUAGCUUUAUUUGUAAUAACCUAAAAUUACAAAUAAUUUUAAUAAGAAAUAAAUAAUAACAAAUAGUUACAAAUAACCCAAAUAACCAUCAACAGGUAACGGAUAAACAAAUUGUAGCAUACUACUACUCAGCAAUAAAAGGGAAUAAAUUUGAUACACACAACAGCAUGAAAAAACUCAUAGACAUUUAGAGAACACAAUCUAGGUGCUGAGGGUGCCCACAGUUAUAGGGUCAAUCACGGUUUCUAGGUAAUUUCAUUGUAUAAUGCUAGAAAAUAUAUAAUAUUUUUUAAAUAGAAAAUGCAUGAUGAGUUUUCUCUUUGUUAUCUAGUACUACUACAACAGAAAUAUCACAAAUGGAUGGCUUUAGCAAACAGAAAUUUAGUUUCUCACAACUUAGAAGGCUAGAAGUUCGAAUUCAGGGUGCCAGCUCUAGGGGAUGGUUUUCUCCCUCUGUUGGCUCUGGAGGGAGGUCCUUGUCUCCUUUCAACAUCUGUGGGCCCAGCAUUCCUUGAAAAUCUCUGCAUGUCUUGGCAUCAAUCUUCCCCUGGGUCUAGAUGGUCUCAGCACAGCCUACUGGGGUCCAAAGGACACGCUCUGCUCCCAGCUCUUCCUUCUUGAGAGGUCCCUCUCCUUCUGCUCAUUUCUCUCUCCUUUUGUUUCUUGUAAAUCCUCGCAACUGGACCAAUAAGGGACAUCAUGAUAAAUGAAAAGAUUGGUGAUGUCAAGGAUUUCAUUUUACUUGGUUCUGCAUUCAAUGCCUGUGGAAGCAUCAGUCAAGAAAUCAAAUGAUGCAUUGCAUUGGGCAAAUCUGCUGCAAAAGACCUCUUUAAAGUGUUAAAAAGCAAAGAUGUCACUUUGAGGACUCAGAUGCACCUGACCCAAGCCACAGUAUUUUCAAUUGCCUCAUAUGCAUGUGAAAGUUGAAUAAGGAAGACCAAAGAAGAAUUGAUGCCUUUGGAUUAUGGUAUGGGGGAAGAAUAUUGAAUAUACCAUUUUUUUUUUUUUUUUUGCCAAAAAAAUGAACAAAUCUGUCUUGGAAGAAGUACGGCCAGAAUGCAAGUUAGAAGCAAGGAUGGUGAGAGUUCGUGUCAUGUACUUUGGACAUGUUUUUCAGAGGCUCAAGUCCCUGGUGAAGGACAUCAUACUAGGUAAAGUAGAGAGGGUCAGCAAAAAAGAGGAAGAUGCUCAAUGAGAUGGAUUGACACAGUGGCUGUAAAAAUGGGCUCAAACAUAACAACAAUUGUGAGGAUGGCGCAGAACCAGCAGUGUUUCAUUCUGUUGUACAUAGGGUUGCUAUGAAUGGGAACUGACUCGAUAGCACCUAACAAAAGAAAAGCUAUGACUUAAGCAAGGGUGUGACUUGAGUAAGGUCAUGACUUAAGUAAGGCAUUGAAACUCAAGAUAUACCCCACUCUAAUCCCUUCUCAUAGAUCCCUUCUCAUAGAGUUUUAGAAUUUACAACACAUAAAAUGGAGGAUAGUUACAUAGUAUCGCAAAAUAGGGGAUAAUUAAAUCAAAUACAAAUGGAGAAUAAUUAUAUACUACUGGGAUCAUGGCCUAGCCAAGUUGACACGUAUUUUGGGGGGACACAAUUCAAUCUUGACAAGUUUAUAUGGAUAUUUGCAGUUUAAAUAAAAUAUUACGUUCUUCCAUAUUUCUUUUACUUUUCAUAUGUGUACCUUUCUGUUUUGCAAAAACUUUUAUGGCUAAUGAUAUUAGUGUAAUCACUUAUUUAAUUUAUCUAUCUAUCUAAUGAUAAACAACACCA